RNAcentral lists this ribosomal RNA (275 nucleotides) under uncultured Eubacteriales bacterium. RNAcentral's name for it is "uncultured Clostridiales bacterium partial 16S ribosomal RNA". It matches the Rfam family "Bacterial small subunit ribosomal RNA", at positions 69 to 339 of the family's 1533-position model. Lineage: Bacteria; Bacillati; Bacillota; Clostridia; Eubacteriales. The record is from RNAcentral.
AAGUUUUCGGAUGGAUGAAUGUAAGCUUAGUGGCGGACGGGUGAGUAACACGUGAGCAACCUGCCUUUCAGAGGGGGAUAACAGCCGGAAACGGCUGCUAAUACCGCAUGAUGUUGCGGGGGCACAUGCCCCUGCAACCAAAGGAGCAAUCCGCUGAAAGAUGGGCUCGCGUCCGAUUAGCCAGUUGGCGGGGUAACGGCCCACCAAAGCGACGAUCGGUAGCCGGACUGAGAGGUUGAACGGCCACAUUGGGACUGAGACACGGCCCAGACUCC